Gallus gallus (chicken) is the source of this 10002-nucleotide long non-coding RNA. RefSeq lists it as uncharacterized. The transcript has 2 exons. The record is from RefSeq and is a predicted model, not a curated record. NCBI's taxonomy places the organism in Eukaryota, Metazoa, Chordata, Aves, Galliformes, Phasianidae.
UAUUAGUACUGACAGUAACUUUCCAUGACAGUAAAAAAUGGAGCAUAGCGGACAACUUGAACGCUGCUUUUCAUUGCCCUCGUUGCUUGGUCCAUCUAAAGCUCCCAGGAGAACAGACCAAGAACUCACAAUCCAACCUGAAGCAGGAAGACCCUGUAGUCUUUAUAGGCCCACUGCUACUGCUGGCUUUUUAGACAAGUUGUAUAGACAGAAUUUUUGGUAUCUGUGAGGCAUUUAGAUUCAUUGCAAACACUCAUGAGCCUUCUUACUGGUAUCUAGCACUAUUUCUUCUACCUAAGUGAAGUUGUAGUUAUUCACUAUAAUAAUGCUUGAAAAAAUGUAUAUAUUUUUCCUCUUCAGACUUAUAUAAUAAGAGAAUUAAAGAGAAAUGUUGUAUACAAUUUAUUUUUGGGGGGUUCACUGUGGGUCAGUGUUAGAUAUAUUAUGUGUUACCACAUUAUUAGUGACAAAUUACUGUGAAGCUUUUUCAGUAUGUAGAUAAAAUGAUAACAUAAUAUCCACUGAAAAGUGGUUAACUUGGAUCAACAUUUAAAAAAAAUAUUAGUCACCAGCCACCAUUUCCCAAACCUUCAGCAUUUGUUUUUCAUUUAUAAAUUGUGGUGGCAGAACAUCGAUCACACUGUGUCAAAGACUUAAAGAAAUAUCACUUUGAGAAGAAGGAUUUAGUCAAAGAAUGUACAUUGUUAACAGAAAUGGUAGUAAUAACGUAUGAAGUGUAACAUAUACACCAUGUAUGGCUUCCAGCUGUUUGGCUUCACAGUUAUUAUGUGCACUGUCAAAGAAUAAAUAGAUAUUUGGAUAACGCAGCAAAACUUAACAUGAAUUUUGAGAGUGAUCUUAAAAGCUAGUUCAAGAAAAUUAAAUACAUUUUCCUAGAUAUAUUUUCUCUGUUGGAUCUACAGCCUUUUUGUAAAAUUGCUAGCUUUCCAGAUAUAAUGUGUACAAUUUCAAGUAAGUAGUAUGGUUAUUAACAUUCAUUCAGAUUCAAUUAUUCUAAUACUGGUUUAAAUCUAGACAAGUAUAACUGUAGAUUUUGGCAAUUUCAGCUUUUAGGGGAAAUAUAUUCGAGAGAAUUGCAUCAGGUCAGGAUAUACUAAAAAGGGAUCUUGUUGUACUAUGGUUGUAUUAUUCCACUGUCUGACCUUUUGUAUUUUUGUGUGUGUGUUUCUUCCUUUAAAAAAAAAAUAACAAAAAGAUUUUAAAGAUCAGGAUUUCCCUGAAGUGCACAGAAGGACCACUUUCGUAAGUCUUUUGAGCAAUCACGUUUUUAACUGGAAAGUAUUUCUGCUUCUUGUACUAUUUCCUGUAUACAUUUAUAAAGUCUUGACAACUUAACCCAAAUAGAAAAUUUGGUUUUAUAUUAAAUAUAAUGUCCUUCAGAACUCCGUAAUUUUUUUAAGACACAGCAUUUAACUGACAACACUGAGAUUUGAAUUUGAAGUGUAUCAGCAGUUCACUGUGUUGAAAAAACUUGGAACUGACAAAAUAGGACCUGAUAUGCUUAUGCAGAUAGGAAUCCUAUUCGUAAACCUGCGUUUGAAGGCUCUUAUUUUGGCCAUGAAAACAAGUACGAUUUACAAACAAGAACUUCUCUUGUCAUCCUCCCAAUACUUUUGCCAAGAAAUUUUAGGACUGUAAGAUAACAGAAAAUAAGAGACAUGAUUUAAGAGGUUAAGUAUCUCUACAGUCUGUGCCGUGGGCUUCGGCCUGAAAUAUGAAGGAGGCUGCCAACCCUCCAAAAUAUAACAAAAGUGAAGCAAUGAAAUGAAUUAUAAUCUUUCUGCUAGGUGUUUCAUUUCAGCAAAUGGCCUAUAAGUUGGAACAAGAUAAAAACACAGUAAUUAUGACUACACAUAAUGCAGGUCAUUGUUCAUAUGUAUAUACAUACCUUAUACAAUAAAGUGAACUUUUUGUUAGAUCAUUUUUUUUAAAAAUAUAUUUGCAUGGAAGAAAAUGACAGGAUUUAGCUCUUACUGUCAUUUCAGGAAAAAAUUGCGUUGGGGAGAAAGGAGACUAAGUAAUUUAGCUACUGAGCCAGAGCAUAGAAAAUAACUGCUUCCGUUUCUGUGUGUUAUUCCAUCUGAUUCACUGUUCUUUCUGUACUCAUUUUUUAGAACUACACUUGACUCUCUUCUACUUGUGGUGAAGCUAUUCACCACUGCUAUCGUAUUUCCAUCUCUAGCAAAUUUUUUUUGCCCUGUCUUGCCAUAAAUAGUAUUCUUGGCUACCCUUCUGAGUUAGUCUUUGCUGUUAGAUGAUAAGGCAGUUAAGUCUGUGGUUUAUCUGUCUGUGUUACUAUUUGUAAGAAAAAAAAAUGAAUUCUCAAUCCUGAUUCUGGGUCUGGAACACUGUGAGCAAAGUCCCAAGCUUCUAGAAAGCUGCUCUGAAGUCAGAAGUAAAAAAAAAUGAAUUAUGAAAUACCACAACAGCUCACAUGCUCAUUCAUAUUAGUCUAAUUGCAAGAUUUGGGUCAAAAGCAAUGUCAUUUUUUCAUGUCUAUGCAGAUGGUGUACAAGCAACUUCUAUUCAUUCAGGUGCUCGUAAAUUACAUAAGUCACAUUACUACCAAAACAUGUCCAGGGGUUCCAAAGGCACAAUUAUAUUUCAAAACUGGGAACACUGUGCAAAAUGGUAAAGUGACUUUUUAAGGAACUUCAGUGCAGAUGAGUGGAAUUUGCAUUUUCCAGAGCAUUGCCCUGUUCUUGAACAACUGAUAGCUCCUUCUGUUUCACUGUUGCCAGCAACACUGAUUCGUAAGCUGCCCAACCAGCUUAAAAAUUAUAGUUACUGAAAGUGGGUGAUUUGUAAAAGAGAAGUUGAAGUCUGCAGAUGAACCUGCAAAAAAGGUGGCUUUUUUCAACUGUGAAUGCUGUUCACAUUCACAGUGCAUUGCUAAUUAUGCGGUAGAACCUUGUUAGUAUGAAUUUCUUCCAAGAAAGAAAGGUAAGCUGAGAGUAUUUUUCAUACUUUCUCUACAAAAUAAAAAUGCCUGCAACAUAUGCUCAGCUGUGAAGAACUGGGCCCAGAAAAAGAGAAUUCCACAUCCAGGGGAAAAUACAAUACAAAAUCAGUUGCAAAACCAUUGUUGAUAUUAGGAAGAGUUCACUUUUGAAUUUUGAAAUCUGAGCAAGACAUUUAUCUCAUUUUUAUGUGUUAAAACUGGAUAAGCAGUUUUGCAUAUUAAGAAGUAUUGAAAGAUUGUGUUCAUCUGAGAAAAAAAGACCAAUUAAAAAAAAAAAUAUCUAAAGAUUAAUUAGCCCUUCUCAGUGAGUUAAAUUCUUUCUUUGUCUAGAUCAAUAUAAAUUAGACAAUUACAUUUCUUUUACACUGAAGAAAUCUCUCCUGAGCCUUAUAAGGAGUUAAGAGCUUCUGCUGUGAAUGGAAGGAUUCGUCAUACAUUUCAAAGCUGUUGUUUUCUUAAAAUUAUUAUUUUAUUUUAAAAUGUUUUGCAUAUCCUAAAGUCUCUGUAUUUUAAUUGACUCUUGCUGAUCUCUAAACCUUACCUCGCUUGCUGGCACUUUCCUACUCCCUGGAAAACACUUGAGAUACAAUUUAUUUAUUGUAAUUUCACAGUUAUUUCAGCUUCGUUUGUCACUAACGUCCCCUUACACAAGUGCAGAAGUAUGUAACAAUGAAAAAUAAUGGGCAGGAAAACACUUAAACAAACAUUUCCAAAACUGCAGGAGAGUUAGGUCUGGCAUGUGAGAAAAGAAUGAAGAGUCAGGUCAUCGGGAUAAAAAUGAUUCCUUAUUUUCUUCCAAACAGUGUUCUUCUCCUCACAGGGAUACCGAACUAGAAAUGUUACUGGUAACAAAAAGAAUUGAGCCACCACUUCUGUGAAUUUACACAGACCCUUCCAGGAAUUCUUGCAAGUCAUUCAGAGAGAAGCAACUCUUACUUUCGGAGGCCAAUGUUCAGUGAAUUCUCAACGAAUGAUGUAACAAAGUACUGGUACACAUUCAGUUGGCAUAUGGCUGAGUAACACUAUGAGGAAGGACCCUGACAAGCGAGAACACCUUGAACAAGAAUUGCAUAGGGUAGUCAAAGCCUAUGAUACAAGGUUCUGGGAACUCAGAAGAUUCAGUGAAAGCUUUGUAACAGAUAAAAAUGAUAUAUAUUUGAGUAUAUAAUAGUGCUAUCAGUUCACUUGUUUCUGUUUGUUAAUGUUGAGGUAUCUGUUUUUCCUAAAACUCUGACUACCAAACACUUGUGUUUAAAUGAAAAUCCUAACUAAGAAUGUAAUUGUAUAACAACUAUCAUGUCACCAUCUCUCCCAGUCUGGCCCUGAACCUCCUGAAAUUCAUUCCUAGAUGUGAAAAUCUACAGAGUGUAAAAAUAAUAGAUUUUUUUUUUUGGUCUAUUUUAUGUAUUAGUUAAAAGUAACAUUAAAUAUACUGAAGGUAAUAUCUUUAGAUCCAUCUUAUAGAGGUCUUUGAUUUUAAAUGUGUUAUAGCAUUGAAGAAAAACAUUUGUCAUACACAGAUGUGGUUAAUCUUGUUGAUGACACUGAAAGAAUCAAGGACACAAAUCAGUUAAGAAUGUAAAUGAGAUUGUGUAUGUCUUUACUGUUAGUUCAGAUUUUUAAAACUGGCAGAAGUGUAAACGAACAACAAUCCAUCUUAAUGAUAUUUUCAUUGUGACCUAAGAGAUCUGAAUACCUUAACAAAUUCAAGUUCGUUCAGUUUAAUUUAUCGCGUUUAAUCAAUUCCUUUCAAGUUGUCAAAAAUAUGAAAUCAGAGUGAUUAUUUAUAAAUAGAUUUAUUUGAGUUUGUGGAAAUUUCAAAGGAAUAUAUUUCUAUUUGAUAUGAUUUGUCUUUGUUCACCUUUUAUUCAGUCUCAGUUUUAAUUUAUGUUCCUUUUUGUUUCUUAAUCAGAACAGAGAAUCUCUUUAAACUUUAAGGUUUACAAAUUGUGCACCUGGGUUCUACAGAACAAGUCUUAAAAGUGAAAAAGAAAAAAAGGCAAAAUAUAGGCCUAGUUUUGCUUCUGUACUUUUUUUUGAAAAGAUUCUCAGUCUUAUGGUCUGCUGGUUAUUUUGUGAUUUUUUUUUUCUUCCUCUUUCUUUUUAUUCAUUUAUGUACAGGGACAGAAUUAGCUUCAUUAAAUCCUGUUGUCUCCUUAUGUCCAAGAACAAAAAUAUUUUAGAAGUUAACACUGUACUCCUUUGCUCAGACAAUAUCUUCUUGCGAAGGAGCAAAGGAAAAAAAUAGCCCAUCUUCAGUGACUUACAUAAAAAUGUUUAAUUUGCAAAGCCAUGAAUCACUGUUACAAAUAUUAAUAUCACUGUUUAAGGUAGUGCUAGAUAAGCAUUGGUAAUCAAAGACACUGUGACUGUGUGUCUGUGCUGAAAAGUACCUUUUAUAUCAGAGACAGUCAUAGAUACAUGCCACCUUCCAGUAACUGGAUGUUUAUGGAUGGACCAAGAGGUGAGCUUCUCAGGGUCUUAAGUACUCUCCUUCCUCCCCUUUGUCUCUCCAAAAAUGGCUAGCCUCCACUUUCCUCUUGGGUCCUGGGUGUGGUGAGGGGGAAAAAGAGGAAUGGAGAUUAGCCCUGAACACCAUUGGUGUACCUGGGGACUUCAGUGAUCUUCUCUCAGUGAAAAGCAUGGAACUACAUGACCAGGUGAUUGUCAGUAUAAGAGCAGUUGUGUAUUCAUUCAGUUCUGUCUGCUUUAUUUAAUUUUAGUCAUUUGUAACCUUCCUAGCACCUGAUGGAGACAUAACUAGUCAGUUCAGUCAGAGCAGAGGUAAACCAUACUUCAUUAGAGUUUCUAGCACAUGUUGGGGCCAUCAGAAGCUUGAGGGUGGGGAGAAGUGGGCUGCAGUGUGCAAUAGCUGCAUGCACUGUAUAAGUAGGACCCCAUUAAGCUUAGAGAGGAGCUUCUACAGUCACUGACUUCUGCGUGCAAACCUGCACAGCUAUCCAGGGCAGCUAAGGAAAACAAAAUAUUAUAAUAAUAUCCCUGUAACAUGAAACAUCUUUCUUUCAUCCUUUCCUUGACCACAGAACCACAGAAUAGCUGAGGUUGGAAGGACCUCUUGGAGAAGGAUACCGAGGAGCACAUCGAGACUGCUUGUGAAAAUCUCCAAGUAGGAGAUGCCACGACUGCUUAGGGUGACGUCUAACAGUGCUCAGUCGCUCACACAGCACAAAAGUGCUCCUGGUGUUCAGACAGAACCUCUCAUGGUUUGAUUUGAAGAAACCCACUGUUACCAUCAGUUCUUAGCUGGUGUCUGGAGUGUCAGUAAGCUCGUGGCAACUUCAAGGUACAUGCAAAUAGAGAGCUUAGUAUCUAGAUAGAACUUGCCUACUACUUCUUAAAUGUGUAGACCUUUUAGAUUCUGGAACAUCUAAGAAAUGCCUCCUACAACAGGGAUCUGAAGUCCCCAGAAAAUACUAAAAAAGCCACCUGGAAUGGAAGUAAACGGCCCAGCUCCUUUCCAUUUUCCUCCUUCUGUCUUCCUUUCUGUCUUUGCAUGUCUUCCUCUCUCUGCCUGUCUGUCCCUUUCUUUCUAAAGUAGAGAAAUAAAUAACAUGAUUGAGAAGCUCAAGUAAACAGAACUUCAGAAAGAUUUUAGUUCCAGAGUUGAGAGAAGAUUUAGCUGAGGGUAUGAUAUUUUUGUUAUGACUUUGCCCCAUUAGCAUCAUGUAAUGCUGUGGAAUCUGCUAUAAAACAACAUUAUAACCCAUAAGAUAAAUAUUUUUUAGUUCUGUAAGCAAUAUUGUGAAUGAGAACAUGUGGCUGAAAUAAAUGAUGAUAAAACUCUUUUUUCACCAGGUCAUAUCAGCAUGAAAUAUGUGUUCUGUCAUUUAUAACGAUAAAAAGAUUUAUUAUUAAAGAGUUGUUUAUUUACACAUAUUACAAUUUUAUAGAAAAAUCACAAAAAUUUGGCUUAAAAGAGCAAAUAACAUUUGCAAACACUGUACAGCUGUUAAUGUCAGUUUACCACUGUGAUUUGGUUUUGUUCAUUUACAUGGCAGCUGGAGGCUUACCCUCCAUGGACUUUGCAGAGGCCAACAAAAGUCUUCCUUGUGAUUUCAAAGGUUCUCUUUCUUCCUGCAAGAAGAAGUCUUUCAGGACAUAGUUCAAUUUGCUAAUAUCAGACUAUUACGAUAGGGCCUGGAGACAAAGGCUGAAGGAUCUGAAUGCACAGAUCAUCUUUUCCUUUCUGCCUCCUAUACUGGGUAAGGACAUAGAAAGAAAUCAAAGGAUCUUAUCUCUAAAUACCUGUCUCUGUGGCUUGUGCUGUUGCUAGAACUUUGUUUUUUUCUGACAACCAAUUGGCCUAUAUGGCACUAAGUUUGCGGGCACCGGAUGGGUUUUGCCUUUCUCAAUGGGAGAGAAAGGUCCUUGGGGAAAAGCUAGUGGUGCUCAUUGAGAGGGCUUUAAACAAAGACUGAAGGGGGGCGAGGGGAAUAGUGAGCCAUUCCCAUGAUAAAGUGUGGGAUGGCAUAGCUAUGUUAAAGGCACAGGGUGCUAGCAGGGGCCUUGAAAUUCCUGCUGCCUUGAAAGGUACUGGAAAUACUGUAGCAUAUAUGCAAUCCUCUGAUGAUGAAGCAGCAACUGCUGGGGCAACAGGAGAAGGCAAUGGGGAAAAUCAAGGAAUUGAGGAGUUAAUCUUUAAGGAAGUGACAAGACCAGCUGCCCAACUGAAGUAUGUCUACACCAAUGCACACAGCCUGGUAAACAAACAGGAGAAGCUGGAACCUACAGUGCUACUAAAAAACAAUGAUAUAGUUGCUGUCAGUGAAAUCUGGCAGGAUGAUUCUCAUGACAGCUUCAAGCUGCUUAUAAGAGACAGGCAAGGAAGGAGGGGAUUGGGUGUUGCUAUCUACCUCAGGAAAGGAAUAGAAUGUGAAGAGCUAUCCCUAAAUAGUCAUGAGCAAGUCAAAAGCGUGAGGGUGACAAUUAGAGACUGAAGCAGGAGAGGGAGCCAUGUGAUUGGUGUCUACUACGGGCCACCUGAUCAAGCAAAGCCUAUUGAUGAAGACUGCUGCCUCCAGCUACAGGAGGCAUUCUGAUUGCAAGCACUCUUCCUGCAUGGGGAUUUCAACCACCCAGACAUCUGCUGGAAAGUAGCACAGGAGCAAUCCAGGAGUCUCCUGCAAUGCAUAAAGAAUAACUUCCUGAGUCAAGUAAUAGAUGGCCCCACCAAGGGGGAUGCAAUACUGGAUUUGCUGCUCACCAAGGCAAAUAAAUUGACUAGUGAUAUCAGGAUUGGAGUCUGCCUGGGCUGUAGUGACCAUGCUAUGGUUGAGCUCAUGCUCUGGAGGGAUAUGAGACAGGCAAAGAGUAAAAUUAGAAUUAGGAUUUUAGGAAAGCUGCCUUCCAGCUCUUCAGGAAGUUAGUCAACAAAACUUUCUGGGAAACUGCCCUCAUGGUCAAUGGUGCAGAGGAGAACUUUCCUCAAGUCACAAGAACUCUUCAUCCCAGGUGUAACAAGACAGGAAAAGAAGGCAAGAGACCAGCAUGGCUGAACUGGGGUUUGCUGGUCAAACUCCAUAGCAAGAAGAAAAUGCACAACUAUUAUAAAAUGUCUUGUUCAACGUCUUCAUCAAUGUUCUGGAUGAAAGGAUAGAGUCAACCCAGGUUUGCUGAUGCUACAAAGCUGCGCUGCCAUUCAACAAGUCCUGGACAGACUGGAGAGUUGGGCAAGAAGAAACGUGAUGAGGUUUAAGAAGAGCAAGUGUACAGUGUUGCACCUGGGGAGGAAUAACUGCAUGCAUCAGUACAGGUUAGGGGAUGACCUGCUGGAGAGCAGCUUUGCAGAGAAGGACCUGGUGGUCCUGGUGGACAAGAGGUUUGCCAUGAACCAGCAGUGUGCACCUGUGGCCAAGAAAGCCAGUGAUAUCCAGGGAUACAUUAAGAAAAUGGUGGCCAGCAGAUUGAGGGAAGUUAUUCCCUCUCUACUCUGUCCUGGUGAGGCCACAUUUAGACUACUGUGCCCAGUUCUGGGCUCCCCACUUCAAAAAGACAGAGAUCUCCUAGAAGGAGUCUAGUGGAGGGCCACAAAGAUGAUAAUGGGCCUGGAGCAUAUCCCAUGUGAGGAAAGGCCUCAUAGGUCUGUUCAGCCUGGAGAAAAGAAGACUGAGGGGGAUUUGAUAAAUGUUUAUAAAUAUCUAAAGGGAUGUGGGAGGCAAAUGGAUGAGGCCAGGCUCUUCUUGGUGGUGUAUAGCAGCAGGACAAGGAGUAACGGCCUAAAACUUGAACACAUGAUAUUCCGUACUAACAUGUGGAAGAACAUCUUUACGAUGAGGGUGACAAAACAUUGGAACAGAUUGCCCAGAGAUGUUGUGGAGUCUCCUGUUGUGGAGAUAUUAAAGACCCAUCUGAACACCUACCUGUGCGAGGUAUUGUAGGGUACCUGCUUUAGCAGGGAGGUUGAACUUGAUGAUCCCUUGAGGUCAAAUCCAACCCCUGCAAAUCUGUGAUUUUGUGAUCGUGAUUUUAUUCUCCCGCUGUCUCUGACAAGAGUUAGUUAAUGUGCUUGUGUGUAUAUGCAAAGUAUUAUCAGAAGUUACCUGCAGUGACAGAGGCUUUAAGGUUUUGUUUAUGAAGAAGAGAGCAAUGCUAUAAUUACAUAUUUUUCCUCCUCGCUUUUAGGAAUGUCACACUACAUUACCUUUUUGUUUCUUAUUUUCCUUUGAAGCCAGAAGAACUGGAGUGAGUUGUUUCACAAUUUUGAUUUUUCCAGACAGAAGAAAACAUGUAAUCUGAAAGUGCUAAUUUGAGUGCAACCUGUUAUUUCAGUUGAGAAAAGAGUGAAUUUCUCAUUUAGAUAUUAAGUAAGGAUUGUUUUUCCAUUAGAGGAACUCUGAAGCUGGUAGGGUCAGUUGUUUGGAUGAAAAUAAGGGUUAUAUGUCUUUGAAAACUCACACUGAUUAUGUGUCAGACCAGAUGAAUUAUUUUGGGAAGAAUUCCUGUAUAGACUGGUUAGUAUUUUAUCAGAAAUAAAGCAACCAGAGUGGGGGAAGAAGAAA